CAUCAGAGUUGUUACUGCAGGAACUGCCGCAAUUAAAUCCCACCUGCAGCUGUAUUCUCCUUGCUGCUGGCUCCUAAUGCCAGCCACAUUGCUUGUUCCUCUGCACAGAUCCCCCAGUACCGCUACACACUUACCAGCUACAGUUGAAGUAAUUCUGCUUUUGUUUGGUAAACCUGCCCCCAUGUGAUGAUUGGUCAGAUGAUCAAGUCUGUUGUAAACAAAAAGGUUUAAUUGCAAACUUCAUGCGUUUGGAAAGUGACAGAAUCCUGUACAGAGAAAGAACAUUGGAUUCAAACUAAGGUCCCUUGUCACUCAGGGUAAAUCUCGGAAUAAAGCAUGAAUUUAUUGAUCUCAUUUUCCUUCCUGGUUUUCUAUGUUGGAGUAGCCCAUG
Long non-coding RNA from Pseudophryne corroboree (corroboree frog), 391 nucleotides. RefSeq lists it as uncharacterized. The transcript has 3 exons. The record is from RefSeq and is a predicted model, not a curated record. NCBI's taxonomy places the organism in Eukaryota, Metazoa, Chordata, Amphibia, Anura, Myobatrachidae.